RNAcentral lists this long non-coding RNA (466 nucleotides) under Bos taurus (domestic cattle). Its description in RNAcentral is "long non-coding RNA NONBTAT013589". The record is from RNAcentral. Lineage: Eukaryota; Metazoa; Chordata; Mammalia; Artiodactyla; Bovidae.
GUCUUCAGGCAAAAUAACACUGUGAUCAUCAAGGCAGUAGUUUAUCAAAACCUUCAGAGUUGAUGAAAGGAACGUUAGUAUGUAAUACAAAAUAUGCCUGGCAUGCAUUGACAUUGAACUGUCAAAUUAAUAUACAUUUAAGCUGGUGAUCAUUAAUCAAGUUUAAACAAUCAUCAAAAUGUUGGGGAAAAAGGAGAUACAUAAUCCUUAUGUUUUCACAAAUACAUCAAAGAGCUAUGACAAGUGAUCUUGGUGGUUUUGAGAUGCAGAUUCAAAAGAUCUAAAUCCAUUACACAUACCACCUCUAUGAUUUUCUUGUUAUAUCAGACACAGCACCAUCAAAUAUGGAUUGAAAUCGACUCCACAGUAACAAUUUACCCCCAGGAUGAAAACGGGUGAUGAAGAAAGGACAAAUCACUCCCACUGUCUAAUUCUCAAAACAACUGUCUCAGCUGGUGAACUAUUU